ACAUGGGAUUUAGGGUUUGGGUUGUGGGGGAUAGAAGGGUGUAGUCGUGGAGGGGGUGAAGGGGAUUGAGGGGUGUUGGGUAGGGAAGACGAAGGAGAUUCUGGGUUUUUUUUUUAAUACUUUUGUUUAAUUAAUUAUUUUAAAAUUUUAAAUUUGGGCGGGAAAUUAUUUUUUUUAAUUGUUAAUUUUCACGUGGACCCCUUAAUGACAUGUGGCGCCCAGUCAUUUUUCACAUAGGUGCCACAUCAUCAAUUAACGGGAGACUUAACAGCCAGACUAACGAAUGUAUGAAACUGUCCCAAAAUUAACAUUUUAGGUAUGACUCUGGGACGAAAAAAACUUUAUGUACUAAAUGUUGAAAACCACGAAACUUAAAGGUAGUAAACUGAGAUUUACCCUAUUUUGUUUUAUGAUUGUUUGUAACUAAUUUCGUUUGUUAGGGCGAGGCCACGAGCCUUAGUAAGAAUAUGUAGUUUCUUUUCAAUUUACUUAUGAUAUUAUGCAUGCAAGUUUUGAAUUAUUAGUCACUGUGUUUAAAUUAUAUAAGUGUUUUAGUGAUUGGCCAACAUUAGGAUAUUUAGAAAAGUAAUUUGAUGCAAUUUUGGCGGAGGGUUGUCCCUGAAAUUGACCAAGGCUUCUUGUGGUUAAUAUGUGUAACUUCUUAGGAUGGACAACACGUUUUAAGGGUUGUAUGAUUUUUCAAAAGGUUUUCACAAAACUUAAUGAAUCUUGCAUGUUCACAUUCGAUUUGGACGCCAUGGACGGGUUGCAUGUUAGAUAUACGUUCUAUGUUGGAGGUUCCAAGUCGGGCAUAUAUUAGGAAAACCUAUCCUUCAAAAUAUGCAUGGGUAAUUCAUAAGUGAUUGGAAGAACUACGUAGGAUUGUUAAGGUGACUGAGGAACCCUAGAGCGUAAAUAGGUUUUCAAAACUAUUUUCUUUUAUUUUCUUUACUUUCUCAAUUUAUUUAAUUGUUUUUAGUUAAAUUCGUUUUUAUUAUUUUAGGUCAUAAAAUCAACAUUGUCCGAACUUUGUUUUCAAAUAAUUAAUUAAGAUUUGGUAUUUACAUAAGUUAUUCACUCAAUCCAUGUGGAAAACGACCUUGCUAGAAUUGUUAUACUAUGAUUACUUUGUACUCUUGCAAGUAUUUUAAGUGUUUUUAUCCCUACUUUGGCAGG
Molecule: long non-coding RNA, 1176 nt
Filed under: Malus domestica (apple)
Lineage: Eukaryota; Viridiplantae; Streptophyta; Magnoliopsida; Rosales; Rosaceae
Description: long non-coding RNA (MDOM_LNC003179)
Source: RNAcentral